GAGUUUGAUCCUGGAUCAGAGCGAACGCUGGCGGCAGGCUUAACACAUGCAAGUCGAACGGGCACUUCGGUGUCAGUGGCAGACGGGUGAGUAACGCGUGGGAACAUACCUCUUGGUUCGGAACAACACAGGGAAACUUGUGCUAAUACCGGAUAAGCCCUUACGGGGAAAGAUUUAUCGCCGAGAGAUUGGCCCGCGUCUGAUUAGCUAGUUGGUGUGGUAAAGGCGCACCAAGGCGACGAUCAGUAGCUGGUCUGAGAGGAUGAUCAGCCACAUUGGGACUGAGACACGGCCCAAACUCCUACGGGAGGCAGCAGUGGGGAAUAUUGGACAAUGGGCGCAAGCCUGAUCCAGCCAUGCCGCGUGAGUGAUGAAGGCCUUAGGGUUGUAAAGCUCUUUUGUACGGGAAGAUAAUGACGGUACCGUAAGAAUAAGCCCCGGCUAACUUCGUGCCAGCAGCCGCGGUAAC
Molecule: ribosomal RNA, 469 nt
Filed under: uncultured bacterium
Lineage: Bacteria
Description: bacterial SSU rRNA
Rfam family: Bacterial small subunit ribosomal RNA
Source: RNAcentral